Molecule: ribosomal RNA, 253 nt
Filed under: uncultured bacterium
Lineage: Bacteria
Description: partial 16S ribosomal RNA
Rfam family: Bacterial small subunit ribosomal RNA
Source: RNAcentral
UACGGGGGGGGCAAGCGUUGUUCGGAAUUACUGGGCGUAAAGGGCUCGUAGGCGGCCAACUAAGUCAGACGUGAAAUCCCUCGGCUUAACCGGGGAACUGCGUCUGAUACUGGAUGGCUUGAGGUUGGGAGAGGGAUGCGGAAUUCCAGGUGUAGCGGUGAAAUGCGUAGAUAUCAGGAAGAACACCCGUGGCGAAGGCGGCUCUCUGGGACGGUACUGACGCUGAGACGCGAAAGCGUGGGGAGCGAACAGG